UCGAGCGGAAGAUGGACAACUGCAAGCCCUGCGGCGGGGCCAUCCCGCUGUGCAUGGUGUCGGAGUUCGACCUGCCGCUGGACCUCGUGGACCGGAAGGUGAGGAAGAUGAAGAUGAUCUCGCCGUCCAACGUCGCCGUCGACAUCGGCCGCACGCUCGCGCCGCACGAGUACAUCGGGAUGGUCAGGCGCGAGGUGCUCGACGCCUACCUCCGCUCACGGGCCCAGUCCGCCGGCGCGGAGGUCGUCAAUGGCCUCUUCCUAAGGUACGGUACAUCGAAAACCAAACGGCAAGAUUUGCCUAUGUGAGCUGAACUGAGUCAUAUUCAUGCACUGAUACUGGCAGUAUUUAAACUGCAUCAAAACUGCCAGGAUGUACGCUACUUGGUACCAACAAGUUGGUUUUACUUUCUCAGGGAGCAUAGAUUUGGUCUUGAUUUGUGCAUGCAUGUCAUUUUAGGGAGUUAAUUUGUGCAUUUGUGUUGAGAGCUGAUACCCUCAACUACUACUAGUAGUCUAGUACUAUCACAAAUUAUAGGUAAUUUGAUUCAAAUUGAAUGAAUCAAAAGUAAACAUGGAAAAUGGAUCUGCAUGCAGCAGAUCAAAUUUGAGCUAGAAAUCCAACUCUAAAAUCUCCGAAUGUCAGUUCCUGUUUGAAAGUGGCACGCAUAUCCCAACGAGCAGGAUCUGUGAUUGAUCAAUGCCUGUUCUAUCUGCUCAGGUACGAGGCGCCCAAGGAACCGAACGGCUCGUACGUGGUGCACUACAACCAGUACGACAGCAGCAACGGCAAGGUUGGCGGUGAGAAGAAGUCGUUGGAGGUGGACGCGAUCGUGGGCGCGGACGGCGCCAAUUCCCGCGUGGCCAAGGACAUGGGCGCCGGCGACUACGAGUACGCCAUCGCGUUCCAGGAACGCGUCAAGAUCCCCGACGACAAGAUGGUGUACUACGAGGAGCGCGCCGAGAUGUACGUCGGCGACGACGUCUCCCCCGACUUCUACGGCUGGGUGUUCCCCAAGUGCGACCACGUCGCCGUCGGCACCGGCACCGUCACCCACAAGGCCGACAUCAAGAAGUUCCAGGCCGCCACCCGCCUCCGCGCCAAGGACAAGAUCGAGGGCGGCAAGAUCAUCCGCGUCGAGGCGCACCCCAUCCCCGAGCACCCGAGGCCGAAGAGGGUGUCCGGGCGCGUGACGCUGGUGGGCGACGCGGCCGGGUACGUGACCAAGUGCUCCGGCGAGGGCAUCUACUUCGCGGCGAAGAGCGGGCGGAUGGCGGCGGAGGCGAUCGUGGCCGGGUCGGCGAACGGGACGCGGAUGGUGGAGGAGAGCGACCUGCGCAAGUACCUGGCGGAGUUCGACCGCCUCUACUGGCCGACCUACAAGGUGCUCGACAUCCUGCAGAAGGUGUUCUACCGCUCCAACGCGGCGCGCGAGGCCUUCGUGGAGAUGUGCGCCGACGACUACGUCCAGAAAAUGACCUUCGACAGCUACCUCUACAAGCGCGUCGUGCCGGGCAACCCGCUCGACGACAUCAAGCUCGCCGUCAACACCAUCGGCAGCCUCGUCAGGGCCACCGCGCUGCGCAGGGAGAUGGAGAAGGUCACCUUGUGAGCCGCCGGCUGCGACGUCGUCGAGCUGCCGUUCACUUCAGGUGUUCGAGUCGCAGCUCAUCGAUCGGUGUAUUAGUAGAGGUUCGCGGCUGAUCAUGCAAGCGAGUUAAUUGAGGCCAGCGUGCGUAGGCACGGAGAGUUAAAGGACAGAGGUGGUGCAGGUGGAGGAAGUCGAUCAAAAGUGCUGUCUGUUUCUGAC
Molecule: long non-coding RNA, 1810 nt
Filed under: Setaria viridis
Lineage: Eukaryota; Viridiplantae; Streptophyta; Magnoliopsida; Poales; Poaceae
Description: long non-coding RNA (SVIR_LNC001107)
Source: RNAcentral